RNAcentral lists this long non-coding RNA (6680 nucleotides) under Ananas comosus (pineapple). RNAcentral describes it as "long non-coding RNA (ACOM_LNC015745)". Lineage: Eukaryota; Viridiplantae; Streptophyta; Magnoliopsida; Poales; Bromeliaceae. The record is from RNAcentral.
GGAUCUGGUACAACACCAUCUCGCAGCUAACAGCGGUGUGGGUGGCGAAUAGGGAGACCCCAAUCGCCGACCCCGACUCCUCCGAGUUCACCAUCUCCGAUAAUGGCGACCUCGUCCUCUUCAACCCAUCAAAAUCCCCAAUUUGGUCCGCAGGUGCCAAUAUAACCUCUAAUUCGACCGUCGCCGUGAUCCUCGACACCGGAAACCUUGUUUUGAGGGACGGGUCCGACCCCUCUAGGGUUUUUUGGCAGAGUAUCGACCACCCCACCGACACUUGGCUCCCUACGGGUAAGAUAGGGCUCAACAAGUUGACCGGAGUGAGUCAACGCCUAAUUUCAUGGAAAAACUCAGAUGAUCCAGCUCCUGGGAUCUACUCUCUAGAACUAGACCCUAAUGGGACUAGCCAAUACUUCAUACAAUGGAACAAAACACUAGAAUAUUGGAGUAGUGGGCCUUGGAAUGGGCAGAUCUUUAGCUAUGUCCCGGAGAUGACGGCAAAUUACAUCUACCAAUUCGAAUACGUGUCGAAUGCCACUGAGAAUUACUUCACAUACUCAGUUAAGUACGACUCAAUUACUUCACGAUUCAUCAUGGACUACUCCGGUCAGAUCCAGCAGUACACCUGGGUGGAGCCUAGUGGUUGGAUGCUCUUCUGGUCGCAACCCAGAGCUCAGUGCGAAGUUUACGCUCUCUGCGGGCCUUUCGGUACUUGCAACCAGAAUUCGCUGCCCUUCUGCAACUGUAUGAAGGGUUUCAGCGAAAAAUAUCCGAGUGACUGGAGUUUGGGCGACCAAAGCGGGGGAUGCGUGAGGAAUACACAGCUGAAUUGCGGUGUUCAGAGCUCGGCGAAGACGGAGAAGGAUAAGUUCUAUCUGAUGAAUAGUGUAAAGUUGCCCGAUAAUCUUCGGAGUUUACAAGUCGGGAGUGCCGAUGAUUGUGAAUCAGCUUGCCUUAACAAUUGCUCUUGCACUGCUUAUUCCUAUGACAAUGGAUGUUCGCUAUGGUAUGGGGAUUUGGUUAAUCUACAGGAGCAAUACAAUGGAACUGGCGGAGGCACUCUUUACCUUCGUCUCGCUGCUUCAGAGCUUCCUAGUUCAAAAGGCCACAAAGGUUUGGUUGUUGGGGUAGUAAUCGGUGGAAUUGUAGCCUUCCUAGCACUCCUCGCUAUUGGUGUUAUAUUAAUUUGGAGACACAGGAGGAAAAGACCUAUUAGACUAUCAAAAACAGUCGGAGGCACUUUAAUUGCGUUCAGGUACAGCGAUUUGCAGCGUGUAACAAAGAACUUCUCAGACAAACUGGGGGGAGGUGGCUUUGGUUCUGUGUAUAAAGGGCUUCUACCUGGUUCUACUGCCAUUGCGGUAAAGAAGCUUCAUGGGAUUCAGCAGGGGGAGAAGCAGUUCCGAGCUGAGGUUAGCACUAUCGGGACUAUUCAACAUGUCAACUUGAUUCGUUUACUCGGGUUCUGCUCGGAAGGAACUGCAAGGCUUCUGGUUUAUGAGUACAUGCCAAAGGGUUCUUUAGAUAUGCAGCUAUUCCAAAGCAAUUCUGCAAUCUUAAGUUGGAACACUAGAUACCAAAUUGCCAUCGGAACUGCGAGAGGGUUAGCUUAUCUGCAUGAGAAAUGCAGAGACUGCAUUAUACACUGUGAUAUAAAGCCAGAGAACAUACUAUUGGACUCUUCAUUUGUUCCCAAAGUGGCAGAUUUUGGAUUGGCAAAGCUAAUGGGUCGAGAUUUUAGCCGAGUUUUAACCACAAUGAGAGGGACUAGAGGCUAUCUCGCACCCGAAUGGAUAACUGGUGUUGCUAUUACAGCGAAAGCGGAUGUUUAUAGUUACGGGAUGAUGCUUUUUGAAAUUAUAUCAGGGAGGAGAAAUUCAGAGCAAGGAGAGGGCGGUCAAAGUGGCUUUUUCCCCUCACUAGCUGCGAAAAAGCUCAUUGAGGGCGAUGUGCAAAGCCUGUUGGAUCUCAAGUUGAAUGGGGAUGCAAACAUCGAAGAGCUUGAAAGGGCUUGUAAGGUUGCUUGUUGGUGCAUUCAAGAUGACGAGAGUUCGAGGCCUACAAUGGGUCAGGUUGUUCAAAUCCUUGAGGGCUUUCUAGAACUUAAUAUGCCUCCUAUUCCUAGAUCGCUUCGGGCUCUCGGUGAAAGCCCGGAUUGUAUUAAUUUCUUUUCAGACAUAUCGUCGAGUCAAAGUUCCAAGACGAGAAGCACUACAUCCACAAAUUCUCAAGUUAAAAGUGCUUCUGGCAGUGAGCUCUAAUGGAUGUUUUGAGCUGCUGAACAAACUUCAAGCUGCCUACAAAUGGAGGUUUCUCUCAGACAUAUUUCUAGAGUUUAGCGCAUGUCUGCAGCGGAUAAUUUAGCUUUCUAAAGUAUCUAGUAGUCCAGAAGUAUAUUACACCCAUAUUUAGCAAUCGAGAGAUAUGUAGACAAUAAAUGUUCAAAAGUAUUACUUUGAUAAUUAUUAUCUGUAGUCCCAUAUGCAUUCUCAUGAUUUUCUAGCGUGAGAAAUUCAACUGUGGAAUGCUGAGAAAUAAGCAUAAAGGAUGAACUUCUCAUGCAAACUAAGAAAAGAAUGUACAGUCGAGCUCGUUUAUUUUCUGCUAAACAUACUAUCUUGAAAAAAUUGGUAUACGAAUGAAGUCUCUAUGAAUUUGAUCAGCUAUGCAUGGUCCUAUUCUAUCUAUGUUUGGUUGUCUCCUUCAGUAUUCUGCUCUUUCAUUAUAUUUACAGUAUCCAAAAACCAAAAUUAACAGGAAAAAGAAAAACAAAGGGAGCAAACUGCAUCGAUUUGAAAGACGAAUUUAAAGAGCAACUCCCAAUCAGCGCUUCCUCGAGAUGAAGAACUCAUAAUCCGGAUGCAUGUUAGUAGCAAUUUUGUGAUUCUUUCGAACAUUUCCCCUAGCAAAAAUGGCAGCUGUUUCCUCUAGAGCUCUUAAUCUUUCUUUAACUAACUCUGAGAAGUCCAAUUGCUUCCCUUCAAUUGAAACAGACCCAGUUGGCUUCAUCGAGCGAAACCAACACUCGCCCUGUAAAAAUGUAAGCACUUAGAUUGUAAGUGAAUGAAAACAACAUAAAAGUGAAUUAUUUUUUUGAUAAAUUAUAAGGACAUCAUUAUACAGAUGUCAGCAUGUAUAUCAUUUAGAAAAGCACAGCCUUUCAAAAAGCGUAUUAUAUUGUUCAUCUCCUGAAUUAUGGUUCCAUUACAUAAGCUUAUAUCGGCUGAAGAAAUAAAAAGAUAGUAGCUAAGUGCAAACAGCUGAGCAAUGGUCGCAAAUUUGACAAAAGAUGCAAAAAUGUGCAUAACUCUGGAUUCAUACAAACAUCCAAAGUGAAUAACCUCUCUUUAAAAGCGUAAGACCAGUUAUCAACAAAUAAUAAACGAAGUUAUAUGUCUAUUGUCGUCGAGUUGACAAUUUGUGUCACACUCUAUUGACAGCGUAAUACAACCUAUGAUUGGAUAGACCAAAGUCAUUAUCACGACAUAAUAUCUGUGAAAUUUCAUUUAUUAUUGCAAAUAAAUGCGAUUUUUUCACGAUUUCACACAUUAGUUUACCACAAAACAGUUAUCUAUCUCAACAAAAGGCAUAACUAACACUGCCAAAGUUAAAAUUGCAACAAUCAUACAAAUACUGAUAGUUAGUAAUAGAGUUAAUGACUUGAAAUGCAAAUUAAUAAAUAGCAGCAUGUUGCCGCAUACAGAUAGCAUAUUUCACUUCAAAUACUUCAUUAUGUUUCUAAAUAAUGUCGUCCCAUUUAAUGCGCCGCAUUUACCUGUGCGUUGUAGCUCUGCAUUCCAAGUACAGGAGACUCCACACGGAAGGAGCUUUUUUCCACACUAUCUGACACACUAUGUCUAAAAACGAGAUGGCCUAAAGAAUGAUAAGUCAGGAACGCUGCAUGUAGACUACCUUCUGGAAUUCUAUAUAUCGGAUGCCAAGCAACUGAGUACCUGGAAAAUAAGUAAAUACAUAUGCCAUCAGCUCCUUGUGAAAUUUAAGUGGACUUUGAAUCAUUACCGCAAGGCAUAGAGGGGGAGGUCAUAAGCGUCUAUACCGUAAAAUUGAUUUUCGACGGAAUCAAAAAGACAUAUCUGGUAGAAUCGUAACCAUAGAAUACGACCCUAAUCGAAAUGCAUACAUUUGUCUCAUACACUAUGGGGAUGGUGAGAAGAGAUAUAUUUUACAUCCCAGAGGGGCUAUAAUCGGAGAUAUCAUUGUUUCUGGUACAGAAAGCUUUUCAGUAUUCACUACUUACCAAGAUGCAGGGUGGACAUCACGCAAUUUCAUGCAAUCAAAUACCAAUAUCCAAAAUGCGUAGAGUACUCCUCAAAAACCGAAAUUUUUACCCUAAAAAAUAGGAAAAAUUAUCCAAGAAAAAGAUUACUUACUUAAACCAAAUUUAAUCCCAACCUUUAAACUGCAUUGCUUAUAUAGAAAUUUCUCAUCCAAUUCAGAUGAUGUACUAAGCUAAAUUAAAAAUUAAAGAAAUUAAAGCAAAUUUCUUUAAUGUGUGCAAGAGUUUUACUGAGAAUAAAAUGUUCAUUAUUAUUAUUACUGAGAAUAUAAUAAUAAUGUUCAUUAUUAUUGAGUUUAUUGAUGCUGUGGAAUCCUAUAGUCUCUCCGCGUGAGCGGAGAAAUAAUUGCCCUUUGCAUUAAAUUUUGACAAUGAGGUGUGCAUAUGUCAAUUCAGAAGAUGAGGACACUUGAGUCCUAUAUUUAAGCUUUAGGUAAAUUGCGCUACUAGUCCCUGAACUUUUGGUGUUUUAACUUUGAUUUUGGCAUUUGCGGUCUGAAACUUUUGAUAAAAUUUUCUUUUAGCUCUUUACAUUUGAACAGUGUUUAAUUUUAGUAGGAUUAUCAUAAAAUAAAAGUUGUUCUUUACAUCUAAUUUAUAUGAAAGCUCGUGGACCAUAAAUUUAUUAAUUCUUUAAUUAUCGCAUACCAUCGAUUCAAAAAACAGAAAAGCUCAAUAAAUGAUAGCAUUGAAAUAUGAGCUAGAAAAGAAAUCGAAAAAUGCAGAGCAUAACGAGACACAGAUUCAUAACCUGCCGUAUAGACAAUAAUUUAUCUUUUAUCAAUAGUACACACAAAGACCUAAAUAAAAUUUUUUAAAAAAUUUAGAAAUUAUUAAUAUCAAAUUUGAAAGUUCAGCAGUUAAAAUAAAUCUAUUAAAAAUUUGAGAACAAUAUAGUAUUGUUUAAAAAUUUUAUAAAGAGGGUCGAAGCUCAGACCUGCUGUGGUCGGCCCUCAUAGAUUAAACCUGACCAGCUAGAUACACCGAACAUGCUAUAUUAGCAAGACGUUCUACCAACGAAAAAGUAUACUAUAUCACACUUGCAUCACAUCAUCAGCAACAAGUCAAUUAUAUCCUUCUCAAACAAAAAUAUCUUUUUACUAAUCAUGAUGGAACGUAUCAGUAUAUCACCUAAGAAAGAUAAUUUUUUUAGUUGGAGAUGCUACGUCAGUAAUAUAACUCGUGCAUUAUAGAUUUUUCCCACCUAAGUAAGCCCAUCUGAUCUGCAGGGCAUCCAACGGUCCAGAUUAAACAAGUCCUCUUCCCACACGGUGGGCCCAACGAUCAACGUGGCGACCAACCAUGGGUUUCUUACUCUUUCAGUCUUUCUCUCGCUUAGAUUACAGAACCAAUUAAAGAUAGCCACGUGCACAGCCGAAGCACCACGUCAUAGCAAACACCUGUAGCGGAUCUCCAACUACGAAUGAACGCAUUCGACGCCCUGCAAGAGGGGUCACCGAAGAAACCCUGCAAGAAGGGGCACCGAAUAAAAGUUGACUCAUGAAUGCAAAGAAGGAAACCAACCCACCCACACAAAUUCGCAUCAGUGGGCCCGCACGCAUUCGUCGUGUCAUGUAUCAUUGAAACUACAGAGGAAGAGACACACACUCUCUCUAUUCAUUCAUCAUUAAACAAUGACCAUUUCGCGUCAAAACUGUUACACCUAUUCACUCCUCAAAUUUACGAAAAUGCCACCCGCCCUUUUAGACAAUUCAAAUGCCGUUCUCUUCUUCUUUUUCUUCUUCUUCUUCCUCCUCCUCCUCCUCCUCCUCCUCGUUCCACCUCUCACUCUCUCUCUCUUUCUCUCUCUCUACCGCCUCCAUGGCGACUCCAAAAACCCCCUUUUCCCUUCCCUUUCCUCUCUCUCUUCUCCCCAGCUUCUUCUUCUUCUUCUUCUUCUUCUUCCUCUUUCUUUCUCUUCAAUCCCACCUCUCCAUGGCCGCGGACACCAUCUCCCCAACCCAGCCCCUCUCCGGGACCCAAAAGCUCGUCUCCAAAGGUGGCAAGUUUGCUCUGGGCUUCUUCCAACCAGGUAACUCCUCCUCCUGGUACGUAGGGAUCUGGUACAACACCAUCUCGCAGCUAACAGCGCUGUGGGUGGCGAAUAGGGAGACCCCAAUCGCCGACGCCGACUCCUCCGAGCUCACCAUCUCCGAUAGUGGCGACCUCGUCCUCUUCAACCCAUCAAAAUCCCCAAUUUGGUCUGCAGGUGCCAAUAUAACCUCCAAUUCGACUGUCGCCGUGAUCCUCGACACGGGAAACCUUGUUUUGAGGGACGGGUCCGACCCCUCUAGGGUUUUUUGGCAGAGUAUCGACCACCCCACCGACACUUGGUUCCCUGGGGGUAAGCUAGGGCUCAACAAGUUGACUGGGGUGAAUCAACGAC